GCAUGCUUAGCUCAGAUGGAUAGAGCAACGGUCUUCUAAACCGUAGGUCACUGGUUCGAAUCCAGUAGUGUGUACCA
This 77-nucleotide transfer RNA is filed under the name Shigella phage vB_SflM_004. RNAcentral describes it as "tRNA-Arg". It matches the Rfam family "tRNA". From Rfam's summary of the family: Transfer RNA (tRNA) molecules are approximately 80 nucleotides in length. Their secondary structure includes four short double-helical elements and three loops (D, anti-codon, and T loops). Further hydrogen bonds mediate the characteristic L-shaped molecular structure. tRNAs have two regions of fundamental functional importance: the anti-codon, which is responsible for specific mRNA codon recognition, and the 3' end, to which the tRNAs corresponding amino acid is attached (by aminoacyl-tRNA synthetases). tRNAs cope with the degeneracy of the genetic code in two manners: having more than one tRNA (with a specific anti-codon) for a particular amino acid; and 'wobble' base-pairing, i.e. permitting non-standard base-pairing at the 3rd anti-codon position. The record is from RNAcentral. Lineage: Duplodnaviria; Heunggongvirae; Uroviricota; Caudoviricetes; Andersonviridae.